Lolium rigidum is the source of this 765-nucleotide long non-coding RNA. RefSeq lists it as uncharacterized. The record is from RefSeq and is a predicted model, not a curated record. The transcript is spliced from 3 exons. Lineage: Eukaryota; Viridiplantae; Streptophyta; Magnoliopsida; Poales; Poaceae.
GUUCAUCUAUUGCUGCUUCACCCUGCAAUAAGAUAAUAAAUCAUGUGAAGUUAAUUGUUUCUGCUGUCAGGUCCCUGCAUUUAAAUGUAGUGAGAAUUUACGCCUUUGAAAUUUUUAUGUAUAGUGGUAUUUGAAAUUUAUGUUUUGCCGACUGGGUGUUAGAUAUUAAUGUUUGCUUGUUUAAUAUGUGCUUAUUUGAUCUAAAUCAUAUGGCACUUCACUUUCAAUUAUUGCAACCUGACUGGCAUAUGUACUGAGUAUAUCCAUGACCAUAUUUCUACCUGACGAAAUGCACUUUUGUUGAAGGAUUUUGUGUGUUUUUUAUUUGAAGCGCAGCCAAGUGAAGAGAAGGCAUAUGCAGAUAGUGAAGCAGUUUACCAGUGCUUAGAAACUGGGUACGUAAUAAGCCAGGAAAACCUUAUCUUGUAUGGACAAUCUGUCGGGAGCGGACCAACACUGCACUUUUCCUCUCGUUUGCAAAUACUACGUGGUGUGAUUCUCCGCAGUGCUAUACUAUCAGGCCUCCGUGUUGUUUGCCAUGUAAACUUUACUUUCUGUUUGACAUUUACAAAAAUGUCAAAAAAAUAAAGAAGGUGAAAUGCCCAGUGCUUGUUAUUCAUUCUGUUCACCACUAAUAACUUUUUCUGCUGGUAUUGUCGGCUCCCGCGCCUUUGAACUGCUGCUGGUCUAGGCAUGAGAACUGGAAGCAUCCACUAGGCUGCAAGGAGAUCUCACCCUCAUGUCAUUGCCAAUGUCAAAAUUGUC